GAACCUUCGGGGAACGAUAACGGCGUCGAGCGGCGGACGGGUGAGUAAUGCCUAGGAAAUUGCCCUGAUGUGGGGGAUAACCAUUGGAAACGAUGGCUAAUACCGCAUAAUGCCUACGGGCCAAAGAGGGGGACCUUCGGGCCUCUCGCGUCAGGAUAUGCCUAGGUGGGAUUAGCUAGUUGGUGAGGUAAGGGCUCACCAAGGCGACGAUCCCUAGCUGGUCUGAGAGGAUGAUCAGCCACACUGGAACUGAGACACGGUCCAGACUCCUACGGGAGGCAGCAGUGGGGAAUAUUGCACAAUGGGCGCAAGCCUGAUGCAGCCAUGCCGCGUGUGUGAAGAAGGCCUUCGGGUUGUAAAGCACUUUCAGUCGUGAGGAAGGUAGUGUAGUUAAUAGCUGCAUUAUUUGACGUUAGCGACAGAAGAAGCACCGGCUAACUCCGUGCCAGCAGCCGCGGUAAUACGGAGGGUGCGAGCGUUAAUCGGAAUUACUGGGCGUAAAGCGCAUGCAGGUGGUUUGUUAAGUCAGAUGUGAAAGCCCGGGGCUCAACCUCGGAAUUGCAUUUGAAACUGGCAGACUAGAGUACUGUAGAGGGGGGUAGAAUUUCAGGUGUAGCGGUGAAAUGCGUAGAGAUCUGAAGGAAUACCGGUGGCGAAGGCGGCCCCCUGGACAGAUACUGACACUCAGAUGCGAA
Molecule: ribosomal RNA, 695 nt
Filed under: Vibrio alginolyticus
Lineage: Bacteria; Pseudomonadati; Pseudomonadota; Gammaproteobacteria; Vibrionales; Vibrionaceae
Description: bacterial SSU rRNA
Rfam family: Bacterial small subunit ribosomal RNA
Source: RNAcentral